GAAACGAGGAAAAUAGAAAAUCAAAAGGGAUAUAAUUAAAAAUAGAGAAUGAGAAAAUUUCCCAAAGAUACAAAAAAGGAUAUAAUCAAACACUAUUUAAUCUCUUGUGAGAACCAAAAAUGGAGAAGUAAAAGUAUAUUCACCAUUUUUUGGGGGGUGGGGAUUUGAUUACAGAGCUUAGACUCUCACAUAUUUUCGUUCAUAUUUCUUCAAAAAGGGAGAUACACAAUGAAAGAAAAUAACAAGUAUAAGAGGAGAAACAUUAAUUAAUUUUGAUGGAAAUAACACGAAGUCCAUAGGCCUUAAGGAUGAGGCCAAUACUGCAUGCAGUCAUUCCUUUUCCCAAAUCGCUAACCCCUCCUCCCGUCAACUUAAAAUAGAGUUUAAAUAUGGGGAUCAAGUUGAUCCUAAACCAAGUUUAGAGACCAACGUGAAAGUUCAUUGGCAACCAGGUUAUUUAACUGGCUAAUAGAGAUGAACUUGUUGAAACUACCAAAAUUCUAAAAUUGAAAAUAAGAAAUGAUAAAAAGAGACCAAAAUUUGCUAAUUUGAUAGAAGAGGUUGAAGACUUUGAGACAAAGAGGAUAUUUUCUGGUUUCAAAUCUCUGUGGAAAAUACCUUUAUCAUGAUAAUACAUGACCACUUCCAUUAAUUGUCUAAAAAUAACCCAUGCCUUGUGCUCCGAAAACUCCCCAACUUCUCAAUUCGAUGAAAAAGCUCUCCACCAGCACAAAGCUCCAUCAGAAGGUGUGCGUAGAAAACAUUCUCAAAUUUCAUUUCGUCAAUUUUUGGUAUUUUAUAAGAACAGGAAACCCUUCUAUAGGAAAAGAUCAAGGCAUGCUACUGCAAAUUGCUGGAUAGUGUAAUACAUGAGUAGAUAAACAUGACAUCAGUCUUGUAGGACAAAAGAACCAAUGUGGAAUUUGGGAAUAAUGCAAUCAAUUGGUGUUCUCGAUGUCCUUGCUUUUUUAUUAAAACUAUU
Molecule: long non-coding RNA, 982 nt
Filed under: Olea europaea subsp. europaea
Lineage: Eukaryota; Viridiplantae; Streptophyta; Magnoliopsida; Lamiales; Oleaceae
Source: RNAcentral